CCUACGGGUGGCAGCAGUGGGGGAUAUUGCACAAUGGGGGGACCCCUGAUGCAGCGACGCCGCGUGGGUGAAGAAGCGCUUCGGCUCGUAAAGCCCUGUCAGCAGGGAAGAACAUGACGGUACCUGAAGAAGAAGCCCCGGCUAACUACGUGCCAGCAGCCGCGGUAAUACGUAGGGGGCAAGCGUUCUCCGGCUUUACUGGGUGUAAAGGGGGCGCAGGCGGCGAUGCAAGCCAGAUGUGAAAGCCCGGGGCCCAACCCCGGGAGUGCUUUUGAAACUGCGUUGCUGGAGUGCAGGAGAGGCAAGCGGAAUUCCUGGUGUAGCGGUGAAAUGCGUAGAUAUCAGGAGGAACACCAGUGGCGAAGGCGGCCUACUGGACUGCAACUGACGUUGAGGCCCGAAAGCGUGGGGAGCAAACAGGAUUAGAUACCCUUGUAGUC
RNAcentral lists this ribosomal RNA (440 nucleotides) under uncultured bacterium. RNAcentral describes it as "partial 16S ribosomal RNA". It matches the Rfam family "Bacterial small subunit ribosomal RNA", at positions 338 to 795 of the family's 1533-position model. The record is from RNAcentral.